CAAAAGUUUGGUCCUGGCUUUCUUAUCUGCUGUAACUAGACAUACACAUGCAAGUAUCCGCACCCCUGUGAGAACGCCCGAACAGACCUCUGCCCGAGAUCAAGGAGCCGGCAUCAGGCACCCCCUUAUGGAGCCCAUGACGCCUAGCUUAGCCACACCCCCAAGGGAAUGCAGCAGUGAUAAACAUUAAGCAAUAAGCGAAAGCUUGACUUAGUUAUAGUUAUACAUAGGGCUGGUCAAGACCCGUGCCAGCCACCGCGGUUAGACGGGAAGCCCAAGUAGAUAAGUUACGGCGUAAAGUGUGGUUAAGGAAAUAUACUAAAAUAAAGCGGAACACCCUCCAGGCUGUUAUACGUUACUGAGGUUAAAUAAACACAUCUACGAAAGUGGCUUUAAUACUCCCCAUCCACGAAAGCUUUGGCACAAACUGGGAUUAGAUACCCCACUAUGCUUAGCCUUAAACCUUGAUGACGACUCACAAAAUGUCAUCCGCCCGGGUACUACGAGCGCAAGCUUAAAACCCAAAGGACUUGGCGGUGCUUUAUACCCCUCUAGAGGAGCCUGUCCAAGAACCGAUAAUCCUCGUUAAACCUCACCUCUCCUUGCAACGUGACCCAGUCUAUAUACCGCCGUCGUAAGCCCACCCUGUGAAGGACUAGUAGUGGGCUCAACCAGCAUUGCUUCAAACGUCAGGUCGAGGUGUAGCCUAUGGAGAGGGAUGAGAUGGGCUACAUUCGCUAGCUAUAGCGCAUAACGGAUGGCAUUCCUGAAAUAAAUGCCUGAAGGUGGAUUUAGUAGUAAGCUGAGAAAUAGUGUGUCCAGCUGAAAGAGGCUCUGAAGCGCGUACAUACCGCCCGUCACUCUCCCCGAAAAUGAAAAUAAAACCUUACAUAAAACAUUAUCGAAUAUAGAGGGGAGGCAAGUCGUAACAUGGUAAGUGUACCGGAAGGUGUACUUGGCGAAAUAUA
This 968-nucleotide non-coding RNA is filed under the name Parapercis sexfasciata (grubfish). Its description in RNAcentral is "12S ribosomal RNA". It matches the Rfam family "Bacterial small subunit ribosomal RNA". The record is from RNAcentral. Lineage: Eukaryota; Metazoa; Chordata; Actinopteri; Uranoscopiformes; Pinguipedidae.